RNAcentral lists this long non-coding RNA (4878 nucleotides) under Homo sapiens (human). RNAcentral describes it as "HSALNT0319396". The record is from RNAcentral. Lineage: Eukaryota; Metazoa; Chordata; Mammalia; Primates; Hominidae.
GAGAAGUUAACUGUUAUUUUGAACUCUGAAUCUCAUAUAGACCAGUGUUCACUUUAUCUUACUCUCUCUCUCUCCUCUCUCUCACUCUCUGUCUCUGAAAUUUCUUCAGAUUUUUUAUUUGUUUCUGGUGCUCUUACUUUUCACAAUGUUGGAACUUAUUGAUGGUUCUGUCUGUGUCUAUUGGGCUGGACAUGCUUUAGGAUCUUUUAUAACCUGUACUCAGUUUGAGUAGUUUCUUGGGUUGAUUCCGUUUUGAUUUUCUCAUUUCUUUGGAAAUUUAUAAUUUUAAAAUUUUGGACCACUGAGAACAUUUUUAAAUUGUCUUAAUCUAACUUUCCACUUCUAUUCUUUUGCCUAUUCUUCUUAGAUAAUUUUUACACUUUAUUUUCAAGCCCUUCUAUUAAUAUUUUUAUUUCUGCUGUGUUAUUUCUAAGACUUACAGAUUUUAUAAUGCUAUUUUUUAGCAUCUCUCCUAUUUUGUGGAUAUGUCAUCUUUUCUCUCUGAAUAUGAUAAUGAGGCUUUCAUUUGUUUUCUAAGUUUUUAUAUCCCUAGGUAUUUACUGUUUUGAUAAUUUUUUCUUCCCUGUUUGUUUGCUUUGCUUUUUUCUUCCAAGAUAAAGCCUGGAAGCUGCACGUCACCUGCCAGCUUUGUGUGUGCCCAGUGAGUGCAGGUGGCAUAAUGACCAGCGGUGACUUGAAUGACAAGGGGACAGAACAGCUGGACAAUCCAAUUCCUAGAUGCUUUCUCCAGUUAUGGCCCUGACUGGGAUCUCCGAAGAAUGACUCAGCUGAAACUGUCAGUGAGGAUGCUUACCUGUGGUCUCCCCAUCAUGGUGGUAUCAGGGUUGUUGAACACCUUACAUGGCUCCAAAAGCAAGUGUUCUGGAAUGUAAGGCAACAGCUGUGUGGUCUUUCAUAAUCCAGCAUCAGAAGUCACAUGGCAUCACUCCUGCUAAAAUUUCUUUGUGGAAGCAGCCACAAAACUGCCCAAAUUCAAGUAGAGGGCACACAGAUCUUAUUUUUUGAUGGGAGGACUCACAAAAAUUUUGCCACCAUAUUAUAAAAACACUAUAAGAUCUAAUAGUAACUUUAACUUUUUUUAACCAAUCCUUCUAUUUUCAGCCCAGACUUCACUUCCUUAUUCAGAUGUAUAAAUGUCUUCUGUGGCUUUGUGAUCAAAUCUGAAUGUUUCUUGGAUUUACCCCUGCCAGCUAAGGAUUUGGCCUUCUUUGAUCUGUUAAAUCAGUUCUCAAACACUGACUUGUUUUCCAUCUAAAAUAUCAGGGUGACCUUUAUCCCAUUCUCAUUGCUUUGAGGAUUUUGUGCCCCCUUUUUUAAAGUCACUUUCUAUGUAUUUUUAUAUGAGUGAGGUUUUGGGAGAAAGUACAGAUAAAUAUAUAUUCUCAAUCUACCACUUUAAUUGAAAAUUCUUGUUUUUUCUUUUACAAAAUUCCUAAUGUUUGCCUAACAAACAUUUAUUGAGAAACUGCUGUAUUUUCAGUAUGUGUUAAGGUCUGUGUACAUCUAUUUUAUAUACAUUAUCUUAUUUAAUAUGCUCAUUUAAUUUCCACAUCUUGUUUAACAUUUAUAAUCUUUUGAUUUGUUAAAUACAAUUUGUAGAAGACCAUUGGUUUAGCGUGAGCUGCACCAGGCCUGGCAGACCAAACCAAAAUGUAGUAUCUCAUACUAAAGUUCCAUGCCACCAAGCUGAAACUAAGUUGUUUAUCUGACUUUCCAAGAAGUCAGGAGAAAGAGAUAACAGUCAAAUCCCCAAAUAUGCUAGUUUGAGUUGGCAUGAUAGGAAAGUUCCUUCCACUUUAGCCUUUAUACGAAAGUAACUUUGGAAUGAUCAGUCUGCUUUUUGUUUCCUGUUUCUGUUUCAGCACUUUUUGUAAAGCCAACUUCUUCUCAGCACAUCAGAACACUCAUUCUACUUUAUAGAAUGAGGUAUAAUCUGAAUCUAAAAUCACAAAUAAAAGCCAAUUAAGAUUUUUAAAGUAAGUUUGUUGUAAUUUUGUCUUUUGACAGAUUUCAUCAUUGCCUACAUUUGUCUUCAGACGACCUGCAGUACAAACUUGGCUUAAACCUGCAGUUGACAAUGGUAACAGGAAUCUUAUUUUAAAAAAUAAUAUGCGCCACCAGCUAAGUUGGUCAUGAUGAGGUCUGGGCCUUGAUAGCCUUCUGGGUUUUAAUUCACACAAUAUGUUUGAAAAAAGAAAAAUCAAAGUAACUGUAAUUUUUUUGUAAAGCAAAAUACUUUUUAAAAGCCAUGAGGCACGUGUUACUCAAAGGGCUCCUUGGAUGAAUUAUUUUGUAAGGCAAAUGAUUUGUUAUAGUUCCAAUGACAUCUAAAUUUGCCAGUUGUAAAUACUGGAAUUUUUGGUCCUUGCAUUGAACUUACUGGUAUUGAUGUGCUAUAUAACUAAAUGUCUUCUAAAAGGAUUCACCGUGGGAGAAUAAAUUACAAUGGAUAAAAAACAGCAUUACAAUCCCUCAAUAAAAUGGGAUUUUAACAGACAAAGGUGAGUCAGUGGUGAAAGGCAGGAGAAGAUACAACAGGUAAGUGUCUGACUUCAGGCUGGAGCCCUAAUAUAAUAAUAAGUCCUUCUUGUAUUGUAAUCUCUUACAGCUGAAUCUCCAUGUGCUCUCUCUCUCUUCUAACAUCAAUGCAGCUCCUGGUAUGUGGUCGUUCUCAGGCCCAAAGGCCCAUUUUGCUUUUGGCUGCAACUCUGUAACUCUGUAACAGAGACCAAGUGCCUGCAGGGAGCAGAUGUUUGGGGCAGUAUCUGCUAAGGUGGCUUUGCUGAAACUUGUUUCUCUCAUUGGGUCUUGGAAGUGGCGAAUAGGACGUUCCUAUAGAAAAACUCAGAAAGAUAAUGAAGCUGCUAUUUGCAAGAACUGCAUCUGUCUGACUCUCAGACAGAUCUACACCAGUGUUUAGCAGACAUGCCAAAUGAUAAGAGUCAAUCACAGCCUCUGUAGAAAAUACUGGAACCCUGAUGUGGACUUACUGAAUCAGAAUCUCCAGGCAAUAAGCUUGAGAUUCUCUGAGACUGUGAAAGAUAAUCUUAAAGAGGCACUCACGAAACACAAGCUCCUUCUCCGGGAAAAAGAAUCAUCACCCUUGUUAUCCCAUGAAAAUUCAUCUUCUCCUUUUCAGCUGAUAUGAGGACUUGAUCUGUCCUUUCCUAUAAGUGCCAUCUGUGUUUAAAUGAGGCUGUUACUCUAACUCAAAGCAGACUUGCAAGAGUAAAAUAAUCAAUCUUCAUCAUAUUGCUGCACUUUCGACAGUUAAUUUUCUAGAGUAAUUUGUCAUUGUGAGGAGCAUAAGAUUUGUCUGAAUUUGUGUCAAAGGUUAUUGACUGAAUUGCCACCUCAUCUUUUCAGUCAAUCUAUAAAUAUGGGCAAGUUUGGGCAGAGGCUAAUGGCCUUCUCACUAAGGGGAUGAGAUUGUCCAAGUUAGGCAACUGAUAAGAGGUAGAAAUAUCUAUUGUGUCACCCAUUUCUUGUGGUAGCAUUGACUUAGAGUUAAUCUCAGAAACUUCACUUAACCUUCUUAAUCCUUUUCUUCCUGUAAAACAAGGCUAAAAAUUGUCAUAACUAUAUUCUAGUUUCCACAAAAGCUAAUCUAAGUAUUAAAAUUUUUAUUGUGACUUUGUGAGAGUGAUCCUGUAUUUUUCACAAAACUAAGAAGAAAAUAUUUUUAUUUAGUGUUUUUCUAUGAAUAGCUUUUGGUUUUUGGAAAAACCAUCUGAUCUUUAUUACUAAGAUUCUUGCUUCUUAGGUCAAAUUCUUGUUCCCUGUCUUUAUAUAGAGUCUAAUAUUGGGAACAUACCCAAGGACCACAUGGAUAAUUUUAUGAUGCUUGCUGACUAUUAUGUUUCUUGCCCACUUUAAUAGCCUAAUAAUAAUAGUUACGAAUUCUUAUUGAGAAAUAGCCAUUCUUAAUCAAUGCCAAUGACAGUGUUUCCUCUUUCAGACUGAAGGAAAAACAGGGAGAAAACCAGUUCAUAUAUUAUGGUUAAACACUGAUAAAACAUUUUGGUUAAAUAUCUGCCUUCAUGGGUUAUUGCAAAAUAGAUUAGUUUAAAGCUCAUCUAGCCCUGAAAUAUACAGUUAGAUUAUUUUUUAUGGAUUUCAAUUAUUUUUAUUUCAUUACAGUUAUUUUUUUUUCAAUACAUGGCCUGUUUGAAGAUACAUCAUAGUAAUGGUAACAGCAGCAACCACUGCAGUAAAUAACUGACAAUUGCUGAACAAUUCAUGUCUGCCAUGCCAUGCUAUGAGGGCCUUAAGGAAUAAAUACAACUUAUAUUCAUAAUAAACAUAGGAGGUUGUAGAAGGCUAAAUAAUGGGUCACCAAAGAUACCCACAUCCCAUAAUUCCUGUAACUGGUGACUAUGUUACCUUGCAUGGUAGAAGGGAUUUUGCAGUUGAGGUUAAGGUUAAAGACUUUAUAAAGGCAGAUUAUCUUGGAUUAUCUGGGUGGGUCUUUAAAAGCGGAAGAGAAAAGCAGAAAAGCAAGUCAGACAGACAGAUGCAACUACAGAAGAGACAGUAGGGACUCAACUCAAAUGACUAACUUUGAAGAUGGAGGAGGUGGUCCAUGAGGCAAGGAAUGCACUUGCUUCUAGAAGCUGGGAAUAACCCACAGCUAGAAGCAAAGUAGGAAAUGGAAGUCUCAAUUCUACAUCGUAAGGAAGUGAAUUCUGCCAAUAACUUGAAAGAGAAGGAAAUAGAUUCCCUCCAGAGGCUCUAGAAAAUAAUGUAUCCCUGCUGACACCUUAAUUUGAUUUGAGCCCCAUGAGACCCACGUUGGACUUCUGACUUAUGGAGCUUGUAAGAUAAUAAAUUUGCAUUGUUUCAGCCACUACAUUUGUG